UCUAUUGAGCACCUACGUACUUGUCUUGAUGUCACACACACCAAUGACUCGAGACUAGUCACUCUCCCUAAAAGAAGACACAGCACGUACUGAUCUUAACGGACUGUCAAUGCCCAAUUGGCAAUCCUAUGAUCAGGAACGUUUAGGAUGUGUCUGCGAAAGAAUGGUCUUAUGAAUCUAACUUCUUUAGAUUACAUUCUCCCAAUCACAUAUUCCUUGGACUUUAUCGUUUAAGCGUAUAACAUUUAUAUGAGACGACUCAAACAAUAAUCUUUUCCCUUGAUAUUAAACUAGAUUAGUUUAACAUGUGAAAUGUCCGUAAAGUAUCAUCAUAUGAUUGGUUUUAGGGUACAUUUCUAACAUAUGUGAGUCCUAGUCUACAUGUUUACAUCGAUCUUCUCACAUAUACUUAGUAUAAGGAGUGUAGUCAGAAAAUCUGUGUGAAAAUAGAGCGUAUAUCCGAUGAGGAAUUGAGUGAAAUCUCUAAGGCAUGUUACUAUUUCAAAUGUUGUUUUAAUUGAUUAAAUGCAAGCUAGUGAGUGGUUACUAUGGUUAAGUAUAAGCUCAAGAGUAAGGAUGGCUAAAAUCUAUGUGAGUAGUGAUUUUUAAUAUGUCGUGUUUCAUUGGAAAUCCCUAAGGUACUUGUUGGAAGGUUUAGGUUAUGUUUUGUUUGUUUUGUUUUGCUCGGGGUCUAGCAAAAAGAUAAGUAUGGGGGAAUUUGAUAGGAGCAUAUUUAUGCGACUUUGUUAGCCUAUUUAUUUGCAUUUACUUAGUUAGUUUCUAUUUAUAAGAGUGUUUUAAGCUAUUUUCGUGUGUUUGUAGGUCCAAUUGGCAAAGGUGAUAAGAAAUGGCAAUUUGGAGCAUUUUGGAGUGAUAGGAGCAUAUUUAUGCAACUUAGUUAGCUUGUUUUCUUGUAUUUAUGUUGCUAGUUCAUAGUUAUUUUAGUAUUUUAAGUCAUUUUCGUGCAAUUUCAGGUUCUAAGGACAAAGUAUGCAAAAAGGUGCAUUUUGGAGCCUUUUGGAGCAGUCUUGGGCAUGAAUUGAAUAGCUUAUGCUUGGAGCAAUGUAGAUGGAUGAAAUUGAAGACCACAGUAUGCUAGGAAUCAGCUAAAGAGAGGAAGAAAAAUUAAUUCAAGUCAAGGAAGGAAGAGGAAUCCAAGAAGAAGAAGGAUUGUCAAGUCAAAGUUUCCUAAUCCUAAUCUACAAAGGUUUCAGCCAUAAUUAAGGUUCCUAGUCAAUUUGGGACACUUAAAUCUCAGUCCAAGGGAAUGCCGCACCUCUCCUUUCCCUUUCCCUUUCCUUGCCGCGCAAGGGACAACUUUCCCCUUCUCUGCCGCACAUCCCUUUCCUAUUUCGUAUUAAUUUUUUAUUGUUACUUAUCCUUUUUGAUUUUGGAACUAUAAUAGCUAAGUUUUAAUUCUUUCUUAAACCAAGCCAUGUCCAUUCACCCUAUAAAUAUAAUCCCUUUCUUUGCCGCAAUCAUCCAUCAUUCACUACCAUAAUCCACCCAUCCACCCUUCACCAUAACUCACCUAUAUCCAUCCACACUUAUAAUGUACCACUCAUCCAUCAUCCCACACCUUGUGCUGCAUCAAAGAAGAAGAAGGAGGAUACUUGGACGUGUUUGCCUUCAAGAUUGGAUUGUUGGAGCGUUUUUAGGUGUUUUCAUUCUUUGUUUUCAAUGUUUAAGUUUAAUUAUCUUUGUUUUGUGAACAUGAGGAGCUAAACUCGUUUUAGCUAGGGGGAAAUUCAAAACCAUGAACACAUUUGCAAUAUGAAUUGAUUACUUCCAGUUGUAAUUCUAUAAAUCGUGAAUGCAAUUUACUUAACUGUAUGAUUCAAAACUUAUUCUUGCAUGUUGAUUAAGGAGGCCUACUAAGUUUUCAUUUUUGAAUUUGAUGCUAGAAUACAAGGGAGUUUCACCUAAUCGUUAUGAACUUGUAUUCAUAAGUAGUGAAGGUUGCUAGUCACAAUCGUGUUAAGUGAAUUCCUGGCAUAAGUAUCAUGCGUUUUCAUAGUUACGAGUGCCUUGUCAAUACUUAUGAUUUUCAUAGAACUUAAUGAUCUUUGUUUGUAUCUCUAUUAUGCGCUUUCAUGUAGGGAACUUUUGAAGAAUAAUUUGAUUGCGAUGUGCUAUUUUCGUCCAAUUCAAUGACAUAAGGAAAAUCUGAGGGUUAAUUUAAGCGUACCUAAUUAAUCUGGGGUGUUGAGGUUCAUGGUUCAUUGGAAAAGCAACUGGAGAUCGAUUUUUAUGCAAGUGUGUCAUGUUUGGAGAAGAACCCUCUAGCUAGCCCAUUAUCCAUCCAAUUUACCCAAUUUCGUCCAAAAUCUGUCUUAAGUUUUUAGUUACUUGUUUUUACUUUAUUUUCGUCCAAAACCAAUUCCCCUUUACUUUGUUGAGUUAAAUGAGUUAGAAUCGAUUUUAGUUUGUGUUUUAAAGUGUUUUGAGUCAAGUAAAAGUCAAUUUUUGUCCAAAGUCAUUCUUAGUGUCUAGUUUGAGUCUAUUUGGUUGUUUUAGCUGUUUUGAGUAUUUCAAGUUUGUUUUGAGUCUUGUGAGUCUUGUUAAGUGUUUUUAAGUUUAUUUUUGUGUUUUUAAGUCAGUUUAGAGUAGAUUAGCAAUCCCUCCUAAUCCCCGGUCCAGAACGAUCCCUACUUAUAUAUAUACUACAAUUGUCAAAAGAGGGUUUUAAUUUGUGUGUUAAGUUAAUUUUUGCAUCAUGGAGUAUUUUUGAAUUUGGAAUGGAUAGCAUACGCAUGUGAUUGGAGCAUAUUUAUGUGACUUAGUUAGCUUGUUCUUAUGCAUUUAUGUUGUUAUUUCUUAGUUAAAUUAGUACUUUAAGCCAAUUUUGUGUGUUUGUAGGUCCAAAGGAUUAAAGAAGCAAAGAAGUGCAUUUUGGAGCUUUUUGGAGCAACUUUGGGCUUGGAAUAAAUAUCACAUGCUUGGAGCUAAAGGAAUGGAUGAAAUUGAAGACUUAAAGAUGUAUGGAUUCCUAAUUGAAAGAGGAUUCCUAGAAGAAUGAGGAUUCCUACUUGAAGUAGGAGAGUUAAGCCAAGGUUUCCUAUUUUGGUUUGACCUUUCCUAAUCCUAAAUGUCCCUAAGUUCCAGCAACAUUGAAGGUCUCCUAUGCACUUUAGGACACAAACCAAAGGGUCCUUGCACCAUACAAGGCCUUGCCGCACCUUGUCUCCCUUUCCUCUUCCUUACCGUGCAAGGGAGCCAUCUCUUUCCUAUUUUCUGCCAUAAAUCACAUUCCCUUUUCAAUUAAAAGCCUUUCCCUUUCCUAUUUCCCUUCAGCCACACCUCCCUUACCUUUUCCUUAGGAUUUUCACUUUAAUUCCUAUUUCCCUUUAUGUUUUGGUUUAAUUUCUGUUACCUAAAUUAUUUCCUAGCCUUAAAUACCCUAAAGUCUUUAAAUAAACACCCUAGCCGUGUGAAUCAUUCACCAUUCAUCAUCAUCCACUUCCUUACACCCUAGCCGCAUCUAUACACCAUCAGAAACCAUACACAACAUCCUUGUCGCAGCCUUCCAUACAUCCAAAACACCACCAUACCUUUUCCCAUCCAUUCCUCCAUACAAACCACCACUCAAACCUUCACCCAACCCUUGUGCCGCAACAAAGAGAAGAAGGAGGACCUUUGGACGUGCUUGCCAUUCAAGUUGGAUUGCUGGAGCAUUUUUAGGUGUUUUCAUUCUUUGUUUUCAAUGUCUAAAUUUAUGUAUCUUUGUUUUGCGAUUAUGAGGAACUAAGCCCUUCUUUGUUUUGCUUAACCAUUUGAAGCUAAAAUAUAAGGGAGUUUCACCUAAUAGUUACAAACUUAUAUUUCCAAGUAGUGGAGGUUGCUUAUAAAUGAUCGUGUUAAGUGAAUUCUUGGUAGGGGUAUCAUGCUCAUCACAGUUACGAAUGCCUCUUCAAUACUUAUAGUUUUCAUGAAGCUUAAUGAUCUUUGAUUGUACCUUUAUUGUGCUUUUCACGUAGGGGACUUUUGGAGAAUGUUUUGAAUUGUUGUAUAUGAUUUCCCAUCCAAUUCAAUAACUUAAGGAGAACUUGAAGGUUAAAAAAAGUGCUGUCACGGUUAACCUGGGGUAUUGAGUUUCAUGGUCUAUUGAAAGAAACAAUUGGAAAUCAAUUUGAAUGCAAGUGUGUCAUGUGUGUAGAAGAACCCUCUAGCUAGCCCAUCAUCCCCCUAAUUCAACCAAUUUCGUGCAAAUCUGUCUAGUUCUAGUUCUUGCUUUGUUUUACUUUAUUUUCGUCCAAAACCAAAUCCCCCUUUACUUUGUUGAGUCAUAUUAGUUAGAACUUGUUUUAGAUUGUGUUUUUAAGUGUUUUGAAUCAAUAUAAAACCAAAAUUCGUCCAAAAAGUGUGUUAGAGUAAAAAACUGCCUAGUUGAUGUUUUUAGGCAGUUUUGAAUCUUUUCAGUUUGUUUUGAGUUCUUUGAGUCUAGUUAAGUGUUUUUAACCUAGUUUUAUAUAUUUGAGUCAGUUUAGAGUAUUUUAGCAAUCCCUCAUAAUCCCCGGUUUAAGAACGAUCCCUACUUAUCCAUACUACAAUUGUCAACAAGAGGGUUUAAUUUGCGUGUUAAGCUAAUUUUCGCAUCAGCAUGGAACAGGUUGGAUGGACGUUUUUGAAGUUAAAAGAGGCUAGGAAUGUGCUACACAUCUGGAGAAAUUAAAUAAAGACUUGGAAGAUAAAGAAUCAGCUAAGAAGAAGGAAACCUUAUCUAACCUUAUCUUAUCCAACCUUAUCUUAUCAUAUCCUAAUCUUAUCCUACCUUAUUUCCAGCUCCAAGGGGGACUCAUUUUCAUAUUAAACCACAUGUUAUCUGGUUCUAGAAGCCUUAAGAUUGUGCUGAACCACCCUAUCCAUUUCCCCCUAGGAAUUUGCCGCACCUAGUCCUUUUCCUUCAUGGAGUGGGUUGUGUUGUGCCUAUCCUUCUCCUCUACAACUUUGGGCCACGCCAGCCUAUAUAUAUGCACGAUAUAUGCCGCACCAAAGGAAGGAGAGAGAGCUUUAGAGAGAAAUUCAUAAUAAAAAAAAUAUAAAGAGUGCUGCAGCUUUGCAAGGAAGGAAGGAGAAUAAGAACUUUGUGCCGUGCCUUCCAUACAAGGCCAUUGGAGUGCUGGAGCAUUGUUGGGUUCUUUCUAUCCUUAGUUGAUAGGAGCAUAUUUAUGCGACUCAAUUAGCUUGUUUCCUUGCAUUUACAUUGCUAGUACUUAGUAAUUUUAGUAUUUUAAGCUAUUUUCGUGCAAUUUCAGGUUUUAAGGACAAAGUAUGCAAACAUGUGCAUUUUGGAGCCUUUUGGAGCAGUUUUGGGCAUGGAAUGGAUAGCUUAUGCUUGGAGCAAGGUGGAUGGACGAAAUUGAAGAUCAAAGGAGGCUAGGAAUGAAUAAUGAAAUGAAGAAAUGAAAAUGAAGAACAAAGAGUUCAGAAUUGGAAACCAAAGUUUCUAUUCUUGGAGGUUUCCAUUCUUGAAAGUUUCUAUUCUUGGCUUGGAAGUUUCCUAAUCCUUCCUCACCUAUGUUUCAGCCACAAAAGGGUUUCAAAACAUGUUAGGUUGCCUAAUUACAUAUUUCUAGGCAUUGCCACACCUUUCUCUCCUUUCUUACCUAUUUUCUGACCCAAAAUUGCAUUCCCUUUUGUUUCAAUUCUUGCUGCACAAGGGGAGAGGAUUCUUACCUAUUUUGUGCCUCAAAACACAUUCCUAAAUUUGUCCUACACUCUCUUCCAAAUUUCCUUUCCUAUUCUCUUUAAUUCCUGCACCUUUCUUGCCUAUUUUCCAUUGAUUUAUGAUUCCAAAUUUAAUAAAUUCGUAGCCCUUCCUUUCCCUAUAAAUAAGACCCCUUUCUGACCAUUCUAAGCACUCCACCCUUCACCAUAACCAACCUAUAUCCAUUCACCACCACAAAUCACCACAAAAACCUUCACCCAUCCCUUGUGCCGCAACAAAGAAGAAGGAAGGAGACCCUUGGACGUGCUUGCCAUUCAAGACGUUGGAUUGUUAGAGCGUUUCUAGGUGUUUUCAUUCUUUGUUUUUAAUGUCUAAAUUUAUGUAUCUUUGUUUUGUGGACAUGAGGAACUAAGCCCUUCUUGGGUAGGGGGCUAUUCAAAACCAUGAUUAUAUUUGCAUUAUGAAUUGAUUACCUUCAGUUGUUAUUUCAUAAGUUGUGAUUCAAUUUGCUUAACUGUUUGAUUGAUAACUUAUUCUUGUAUGUUUAUUAAGAGUGCACACUUAGUUUUCAUGCAAGGAUUUGAAGCUAAAAUAUAAGGGAGUUUCACCUAAUAGUUACAAACUUAUAUUUGCAAGUAGUGGAGGUUGCUUAUAAACGAUCGUGUUAAGUGAAUUCUUGGCAAAAGUUUCAUGCUUUUCAUAGUAACAAUUGCCUCGUCAAUGUUAUA
Molecule: long non-coding RNA, 6396 nt
Filed under: Malus domestica (apple)
Lineage: Eukaryota; Viridiplantae; Streptophyta; Magnoliopsida; Rosales; Rosaceae
Description: long non-coding RNA (MDOM_LNC019749)
Source: RNAcentral